Molecule: ribosomal RNA, 623 nt
Filed under: uncultured bacterium
Lineage: Bacteria
Description: bacterial SSU rRNA
Rfam family: Bacterial small subunit ribosomal RNA
Source: RNAcentral
AUUGAACGCUAGCGGGACGCCUUACACAUGCAAGUCGAACGGCAGCACGGACUUCGGUCUGGUGGCGAGUGGCGAACGGGUGAGUAAUGUAUCGGAACGUGCCUAGUAGCGGGGGAUAACUACGCGAAAGCGUAGCUAAUACCGCAUACGCCCUACGGGGGAAAGCAGGGGAUCGCAAGACCUUGCACUAUUAGAGCGGCCGAUAUCGGAUUAGCUAGUUGGUGGGGUAACGGCUCACCAAGGCGACGAUCCGUAGCUGGUUUGAGAGGACGACCAGCCACACUGGGACUGAGACACGGCCCAGACUCCUACGGGAGGCAGCAGUGGGGAAUUUUGGACAAUGGGGGAAACCCUGAUCCAGCCAUCCCGCGUGUGCGAUGAAGGCCUUCGGGUUGUAAAGCACUUUUGGCAGGAAAGAAACGUCAUGGGUUAAUACCCCGUGAAACUGACGGUGCCUGCAGAAUAAGCACCGGCUAACUACGUGCCAGCAGCCGCGGUAAUACGUAGGGUGCAAGCGUUAAUCGGAAUUACUGGGCGUAAAGCGUGCGCAGGCGGUUCGGAAAGAAAGAUGUGAAAUCCCAGAGCUUAACUUUGGAACUGCAUUUUUAACUACCGAGCUAGAG